GACGAACGCUGGCGGCGUGCUUAACACAUGCAAGUCGAACGGAAAGGCCCCUUUGGGGGUACUCGAGUGGCGAACGGGGGAGUAACACGUGAGUAACCUGCCCUUGACUUCGGGAUAACUUCAGGAAACUGGGGCUAAUACCGGAUAGGAAUCCUUGCUGCAUGGUGGGGGUUGGAAAGCUUCGGCGGUUUUGGAUGGACUCGCGGCUUAUCAGCUUGUUGGUGGGGUAGUGGCUUACCAAGGCAUUGACGGGUAGCCGGCCUGAGAGGGCGACCGGCCACAUUGGGACUGAGAUACGGCCCAGGCUCCUACGGGAGGCAGCAGUGGGGAAUAUUGCACCAUGGGCGGAAGCCUGAUGCAGCAACGCCGCGUGCGGGAUGACGGCCUUCGGGUUGUAAACCGCUUUCAGCAGGGGCGAAGCUUGUGGUGACGGUACCUGCAGAAGAAGCACCGGCUAACUACGUG
Molecule: ribosomal RNA, 465 nt
Filed under: uncultured bacterium
Lineage: Bacteria
Description: partial 16S ribosomal RNA
Rfam family: Bacterial small subunit ribosomal RNA
Source: RNAcentral